Molecule: long non-coding RNA, 128 nt
Organism: Gavialis gangeticus (Gharial)
Lineage: Eukaryota; Metazoa; Chordata; Crocodylia; Gavialidae
Exons: 3
Source: RefSeq, a predicted model, not a curated record
CCCCAACUAGAUCAUCCCAGCCAGGGCUUUGUCAAGCUGGGCGUUAAAAACCUCCAAGGAUGGAGAUUCUAUGACCUCUCCAGGUAACUCAUUCCAGUACUUUACCAAAGAGGUCCUGCUGCCUGGUG